CAUAUGCAUGUAUAUGUAUAUAUAUGUGUGUGUGUGUGUGUGUAUAUAUAUAUAUAUAUAUAUACACACACACACACACACACAUAUGUACGUGUGUAUC
RNAcentral lists this microRNA precursor (100 nucleotides) under Podarcis lilfordi (Lilford's wall lizard). The record is from RNAcentral. Lineage: Eukaryota; Metazoa; Chordata; Lepidosauria; Squamata; Lacertidae.